GUGGACAAAAAUCAUACCAACUGUGUGGUCCACGAUACAGAGAAGUGAAGCCGAGCGGAAGGAGUGCCCGGGUGGCUGCAGGGUUCUUCAAGGACACCCGAGAUGGACACUGUAACACCCAAGACCACAGAGCUGAGGACAAACGCUGUCAACGGGGAAGCAGCUACUGAAACGGGACCAAAAUAAAGAGGUAAACUAGAGUAAUAAAAAUACACACUUAAUGCACACCAGGCAGAAGAGGAAAAGAGAAAUGAGGUCAAAUGAGCUGAACAGAACAGAGUGGGAGAAGUAAAUCCAACACAAGUAUAUCCACGUUAAAUUUCAAAAUGGCCUCAAGAUAGCAAUAAAAAGCAGACAUGGCCAGAGUCCACGAAAAACAAGAGCAGAGCAUUUGAAUUCUGAAAGAAAUCUGUUAUGGUCAUAAUGUCCCAGUCUCAG
This 438-nucleotide long non-coding RNA is filed under the name Marmota monax (woodchuck). The record is from RNAcentral. Lineage: Eukaryota; Metazoa; Chordata; Mammalia; Rodentia; Sciuridae.